This 63-nucleotide transfer RNA is filed under the name Freysuila caesalpiniae. Its description in RNAcentral is "tRNA-Trp". Lineage: Eukaryota; Metazoa; Arthropoda; Insecta; Hemiptera; Psyllidae. The record is from RNAcentral.
UAAAAUCUUAAGUUAAGAUAAACUAGUAACCUUCAAAGUUAAAAUUAAACUAUUUUAGAUUUU